RNAcentral lists this long non-coding RNA (277 nucleotides) under Prunus persica (peach). RNAcentral describes it as "long non-coding RNA (PPER_LNC007173)". The record is from RNAcentral. Lineage: Eukaryota; Viridiplantae; Streptophyta; Magnoliopsida; Rosales; Rosaceae.
AUUAGAGCACAAACCAUUGAUUAGGGACUGUCGUUACAACAACCAUAUGAUUGACCGUUGUACAGAAAUACAAUCUUCUUAUGUUCACGAAAGACGUCAAGUUGACUUGAUUGAGUACUUAUGGGCGCUGAGAGACAAUCACGGUCAAUGAAUUCAAGUUUAAUACUUAGUUUUGAAUAAUGUUUUGUUUGUGUUUUGUUUUGAAUUAUGCUUUCUUUGUGUUUUGUAAUGAAUUAUGCUUUGUUUUGAUGUAUGCAAUAUUUUAAAUAAAUGCCUA